Molecule: long non-coding RNA, 4546 nt
Organism: Cygnus olor (mute swan)
Lineage: Eukaryota; Metazoa; Chordata; Aves; Anseriformes; Anatidae
Exons: 2
Source: RefSeq, a predicted model, not a curated record
CACCCAAUUUAAGUGGGGAAAAGCAAGUAGACGUUCAAGUCAAACUGCCAGACUGAGAACCCUGAGUUAGUUUGGACCAUGAUCUUAAGUGUUAGUCAGUAAAGCAAAAGAACUGAGUUUGAUUCUCCUUAAGUUCUUGUGCCCCAAAUAAGGAGAAUAUUCUUUCUCUUCAUUAGCCUUGACUUUAUUUUAUGCUUCUCACUCUUAGUAUGAAUCUUCCUGCAGAGACUAUUUAGACUACCAUUCUAUUUACAUCUAAGUCUUAUCCAGUGCAUCUUUUGGAUUCUUGUUCUAAGUUUCUUCUUGUUCCAGGCUUGUUCCUGUUUCACAAAGCUGUGCUUUACUUUUAUCUCACAGCUCUUGUUCCCUGAACUUUACAUAGCUGUCUGUGCUCUCCUCCAUCCCUUGUCUCCAUGUCUUUGUCUCAUGUAAACAAUAUACUUGUAUCCCCAUCUUCUUAGUCUCUCAUGUGCUUGCCAAAAGCAUGCAGCUAAGACUUACAGCUCAGGUUUUCACCUUUCCCCCUUACAGAUGGUAGAAGGUAGACAAUAUAUGUUUAAAAAAAAUACUAAUUUGCAGAAACAACCAGACAUAUGCUAAGUAUCACUAACCAGCCCGUUCUCUCUUUAUUACAGUUUCUCUCUCCUUUGUUUAGGUUAUCUGUUUAGCUCUUCAGGCUAAGAACCUGUUCUGCCAAGAUUGUUCAGCAAACUCGAGGUUACUAUAGCAAUUAAUAAUCAUUUGUGUUUUAGGUUACAGAAACAAACUAGAAGAGUGGAGGCGCCAGGAAGAGGUGCCAGCAAAGAAGUCACAAUUUGAGAAAAGCCACAAGAACAUAUUUGGCAGCAGGGGGAUUAUCACAGAAAGUUUCUGUAAUUCCAGAAGAGACAGCUAGAGCAACAUGACAAAGCAGAUGCGGAAAAAUGCACACAAAGAAGGAGCAAUGUGGUUAGAGGAGGAAAGCCAGUAGCUGGUGGUAAUAGCAGAACACUUGGAGUACAAAAGAAGAUACCAGGAAGAGAAGGCAAGAUAUGAGGCUAAGGAACAGAUGAAAAAAGAAGGCACUAGGUAAGCACAGCUUUUAAUCAGGUGUGUAACUAUCAUACAGAAAGUGAUGUUACUUUUUUUUUCCUUAGUAAUAAUAGUAUAUCUAUAUACUUAGUGCCAACCUAUACAAUAAUAGUUACUUAGUCAGGACUCCAAACAGCAUAGUUCACAUUGAAGAGCAGCAUCAGUACCUCAGGAGUAAAACUUAGGCUACCUUCAAUGUAAGCUCCAAGAUGUAAUGUAGUUCUUUUGCUAUUUAACCAGUUUGUCCAAUAUUUCCCUAAAUUCCACCAGCAAUUUACAUAUCUUAUGUAGUUUAAAGAUACAAAUAACAUCCAUUUACGCUAUAGAAAGCGCAACUAGAUUUUCCUACACUUGAAAUUAUGAUUACCUUUAUGUAGUCCAUCAGAGCAGACUCCAACAUAGCAUGCUUCCAGAACUCAUUCCUAUCAGAACCUCAGAACACAGAAACUGGGAAUUUACACAUUGCAUACCAAAGCGCUGCAAACAGUACAGACUCCUUGUGUUGAAGCCUAGAUCAACUUCUCAGUCACAAAGCACUACAAGGGAUGAGAGGAUUCAUGAUAACUACAGGUGAGCAGAAGUAACUAUAUUCUGUCUGCUCUAUUCAUACUGUCAUAACAGUACAACAUAUUGGCCCACAAGGUACAAGCAUAACCCAAUUUCUUUUUUGCCCAACCUGUUUCAAAGCUUGCUCAAAGCCAGCUCCUAGGGCCAAGUGCAUGCUCCUGUCCAGACUCAGUGCCUCAAAAGGCAGUGCUACAUAUUGGCAAAGUCAAAGAAACUGCCAGUGAACCAGCCAUGAGCCUAUUGAAUGUGCAGGUUUUGAGUCAAAACACCAGUUUUCUAAUCCAAGGAGUAAGUCUGACCUGUCUUCAACUCAUUUUAUUAACAGUGUUUGCAGGCAAAGAGCAGACCUGGAGCAAUGUCUGCAGUUCCCACAAGCACUGUUAAUAGAAGCUACCAGAACACACUCAAGAUGGUUCUCAUCCAUGGGUUUUAUUUUCAGCUGCUUGAAAAAGCCAGGCCUGAAAACGAUACAGAAGAAUAAAUAAAUGCUUGGUGCCAGGUAUUGGUCAUUGCAGUGAGCCCUUCCAGUUCAAGCCUAAUUCAAGGUUCCAACCUGAUUCAAAAAGAAGACCAGUGUUCCUUUACCAGACAGGUGUUAUUCUCAUUCCCCAAGCUGUUUUCCCAAGCUGCAACUACAGUCUGUAUAGACAAGAAAUUAGACAAGUAAAAGCAUUUGUUUUUAGCAGCAAGCAGAAAUGAACCCAGACAGACCAUGAUAACCUUUACAACCUCUUGAGGUGUCAGAAUACAUUUCAUUUAACCUUCACUGCUCCAUUGUAGAUUCUUCAGUUCACUUCAGUUUUAAGAGGAAAAAAUAGAACUAUCAGUUUACAAAAGGUAUGAAGAUCUUAGUGCUAACUUUGGGAAGAAACACCCAAACCAAUCAAUUUGUUACUGUAUUGGAAAAGUUUUCAAUAUCAACAAUAAGACAAGCUAUAGCAAACUAAGAACUUCAUUGCAAGUUCAUCUUAUUUUCUGCUUCACUAAUAUUAUCUAACAAAAAGUGACAUUUGUAGACGCAAAUUGUAUUGCCAUUCCUGUAGAAAGUCUCCCAUGGAGAACAGUAAUCAAUUUCUGCAAUCUGUUUAAGCUGAAGUUGAACUUCACUUGAAUUAAAUACACAUUAAGUAUUGGUUCUAAAAGCAAAACAAAGCCAGUUUACUUCCAACUUGCACUGUUUCUACAGUUCUCUGUAUGGUGUCUCAGAAGCUGAUCUUCUCAUUUGAGAAAAUUUAUUUGUACAAUAAUUCAACAGUACAUACAGAAGAUGCCCAGCUCAGCACAGAUACAUAAGUAUUGUACUCUUAAAAAUGAUUUUAACUCCAAGUAGGAAAAACAAAAAAACACAAAACUGUAGUAUACAGUUCUAGUGCUUCUAAACACAUGGUUAUUCAAAAUUUGUGACAGACUUCAAGUGCUAGCAUCAUCUGACAUAACUGAAGUCUAUUAUCUGCAAGCAUUUACAAAUUUAACUUCAAAAUGUCAUUUUGCUGAAUUUACAAUCAAGAAUUGAGAUAUAUUUAUAUUUAAGAGGAUAAACACUUCCAACAUAGCAGCUUUAAGAACAUCUUCAUGGAACCUGAUCUUUCACAGCACUUAUAAAUACAGCUUCUAUACAGCAUGAAAGUGAACAUUAAGUAUAUUAACUUCACAAUUAGAAAUAUUUAAAGCAAACAUUAGCUUCUAUAUUCUAGUGCAUAACAGACUCAGUGAAUAUUGUUUAAUUCUCCGACUUGUUUCUAAAAGUAAAAAACAAAGCAAUGCUAAGCAGAACCAGUUAUCAGCAGCUGAACUCAGUUCUUCUAAUAUAUAGGUAAGCACAUAGAUGAAGAUCAAAGAAAAUUUCAGGAGGAAGAGUCUUUUCUCUAUUUUUCUCCAGCAUAUGAAGGCCAGUCUAACUUCCAGUCGUGAGCUUCAAAUCCAUGAAUGGUUUAGAAAUAAUCUGGACUAUCUUUCCAAAAAGAAAUUCUUUGAAAAGUAUUACAUCUUCCAAAGAAGUAAAAAAAAAAAAGGUCUGUACACUCAACUUCAAAAUUCAGGUUUAUUUCAAUGUACAACUUCCAAACAAUGAAGUUCCUUAAAAAAGGUACCAAUGCAUGAGUAGUUUGUGUAUCUUCUCAUUUUAUAUGGAGCUCUCAAUAUUAAUCUGAGUCAGAGUACAGUAUUCCUGUUAUUUCUGUCCCAUCAACAGUUCUAACUGUACAGAUGCUGCUUUAGACCAGCAGCUCCAUUCAGGUAAUAGGUCUUCAAGGCUUGAUAACUGGUCAGAAAGAGGUUAAAUCAGUUUACCACUGGUACCAUAUCCACUCUGUAUGGAAACGUGUUUCAGGACAAGGUUACACAACAGAAAAACUGAGCCUUGAGCUUCAUCCCACUGAAGCUGAAAUAGCAUUCUGCAGGAAACCCUCCUCCAUAUAGUCUUAAGAAAGUGACAAACAGUGCUUCAAAAACUAGAAAGUUAAUAUGGAAGAGCAUAAAAAACAGACUUGAAAGAGGGAAAUGAACAGUAAGAACUAAAGAAAGCUGGUGUAGCAACAGAAGUACUGGCAUCAAACCCAGUGGAAAUGGAUUCUGUUCUCAUCUCCACUUUCAGUUUCUUAAGUAAACCACUGUCCCCCCUGUGCCUCAGUUCCUAAUUUGCAGAAUGAUAAUGGGAAUGUGUCUACUAACAGGAUCAUUACACAAAUUUAAAUUAAAAGAUGAUCUGACAGCACUCAAAAGGCCGUUUUAUUUCUGGUAUCCCGAAGCAGAUAUAUUUAGUAUUCUCAAAAAGCAAUCAGAGAUGAGUUCAAAGAAGCUAUGUUACUCUACCUCGUAGUAGCAAUUCUUUCUUGCCUCCAAAAUUGACUUGCAUAGAAUACUUUGAAAAAUCCCAUAUUCUGACAUUCCUGACAAAAAAAAUAAUCUU